Molecule: non-coding RNA, 20 nt
Filed under: Arabidopsis thaliana (thale cress)
Lineage: Eukaryota; Viridiplantae; Streptophyta; Magnoliopsida; Brassicales; Brassicaceae
Also listed under: 2 other names
Source: RNAcentral
CCGAAAGAUGGUGAACUAUG